UGAGGAAUAUUGGUCAAUGGACGCAAGUCUGAACCAGCCACGUCGCGUGAAGGAAGACGGCCCUACGGGGUGUAAACUUCUUUUGUAAGAGAAUAAAGUGAGUCACGCGUGACUUUUUGCAUGUACCUUACGAAUAAGGAUCGGCUAACUCCGUGCCAGCAGCCGCGGUAAUACGGAGGAUCCGAGCGUUAUGCGGAUUUAUUGGGUUUAAAGGGUGCGCAGGCGGGAGAUUAAGUCGGCGGUGAAAUUUUGCAGCUCAACUGUAAAAGUGCCUUCGAAACUGGUUUUCUUGAGUAUGGAUGAAGUAGGCGGAAUUUGUGGUGUAGCGGUGAAAUGCAUAGAUAUCACGAGGAACUCCGAUUGCGAAGGCAGCUUACCAAGCUAUUAUUGACGCUGAGGCACGAAAGCGUGGGGAUCGAACAGG
RNAcentral lists this ribosomal RNA (424 nucleotides) under uncultured prokaryote. RNAcentral's name for it is "bacterial SSU rRNA". It matches the Rfam family "Bacterial small subunit ribosomal RNA", at positions 355 to 776 of the family's 1533-position model. RNAcentral also lists the same sequence under 1 other name. The record is from RNAcentral.